UACGUAGGGUGCGAGCGUUGUCCGGAAUUAUUGGGCGUAAAGAGCUUGUAGGCGGUCUGUCGCGUCUGCUGUGAAAAUCCGGGGCCCAACCCCGGACUUGCAGUGGGUACGGGCAGACUAGAGUGUGGUAGGGGAGACUGGAAUUCCUGGUGUAGCGGUGAAAUGCGCAGAUAUCAGGAGGAACACCGAUGGCGAAGGCAGGUCUCUGGGCCACUACUGACGCUGAGAAGCGAAAGCCAGGGGAGCAAACGGG
Molecule: ribosomal RNA, 253 nt
Filed under: uncultured bacterium
Lineage: Bacteria
Description: partial 16S ribosomal RNA
Rfam family: Bacterial small subunit ribosomal RNA
Source: RNAcentral